RNAcentral lists this ribosomal RNA (468 nucleotides) under uncultured bacterium. RNAcentral's name for it is "partial 16S ribosomal RNA". It matches the Rfam family "Bacterial small subunit ribosomal RNA", at positions 28 to 507 of the family's 1533-position model. The record is from RNAcentral.
GACGAACGCUGGCGGCGUGCUUAACACAUGCAAGUCGAACGGAAAGGCCCUGCUUUUGUGGGGUGCUCGAGUGGCGAACGGGUGAGUAACACGUGAGUAACCUGCCCUUGACUUUGGGAUAACUUCAGGAAACUGGGGCUAAUACCGGAUAGGAGCUCCUGCUGCAUGGUGGGGGUUGGAAAGUUUCGGCGGUUGGGGAUGGACUCGCGGCUUAUCAGCUUGUUGGUGGGGUAGUGGCUUACCAAGGCUUUGACGGGUAGCCGGCCUGAGAGGGUGACCGGCCACAUUGGGACUGAGAUACGGCCCAGACGCCUACGGGAGGCAGCAGUGGGGAAUAUUGCACAAUGGGCGGAAGCCUGAUGCAGCAACGCCGCGUGCGGGAUGACGGCCUUCGGGUUGUAAACCGCUUUCGCCUGUGAUGAAGCGUGAGUGACGGUAAUGGGUAAAGAAGCACCGGCUAACUACGUG